This is a non-coding RNA of Pelobates cultripes (western spadefoot toad), 373 nucleotides long. The record is from the annotation of a GenBank genome assembly. Lineage: Eukaryota; Metazoa; Chordata; Amphibia; Anura; Pelobatidae.
CAAGUCUCAAACACCCUUAAUCCUCCCUACUGAGAAAACCUUGUGCAUGGGUUAGAGAAUUUCAAUUCAGUCCCAGGAGAGGAUGCCUUGUUUCAGAUCGAUAUAGACUCAGUUUCAUUUUUGUUUUCUAAAAUAUUUUGUUUAAGUUUUUUUUUCUUUUUUUCUAGAAACCACCAACCUGCAGACAGGAAUAUCUGUUAGUUUUGCCAUCGUUUGGAAUCAUAUAUAGAGAGAUCAAAGAAUAUGCAAUUGGAUAUUGCUGGUGGAGCCAAGUGAUAUCUUGCCACUCUGUACAUGUGAUUUGUGAUGGCAAAAUAUUACCAAGUACAAAUAGCCUAAAAAAAAAAGGACCUAAAAAUAAAAUAGAUUUAUU